This is a non-coding RNA of Podarcis lilfordi (Lilford's wall lizard), 73 nucleotides long. Lineage: Eukaryota; Metazoa; Chordata; Lepidosauria; Squamata; Lacertidae. The record is from the annotation of a GenBank genome assembly.
UCUCAUGUUCAGUCGGUAGAGCACGAGGCUCUUAAUCUCAGGGCCGUGGGUUCAAGCCCCGCAUUGGGCAAAA